RNAcentral lists this transfer RNA (76 nucleotides) under Glycomyces paridis. Its description in RNAcentral is "tRNA-His". It matches the Rfam family "tRNA". Rfam says of the family: Transfer RNA (tRNA) molecules are approximately 80 nucleotides in length. Lineage: Bacteria; Bacillati; Actinomycetota; Actinomycetes; Glycomycetales; Glycomycetaceae. The record is from RNAcentral.
GUGGGCGUAGUUCAGCUGGUAGAACGCUUGGUUGUGGUCCAGGAGGUCGCGGGUUCAAGUCCCGUCGUUCACCCCA